Non-coding RNA from Triticum urartu, 2142 nucleotides. The record is from RefSeq and is a predicted model, not a curated record. NCBI's taxonomy places the organism in Eukaryota, Viridiplantae, Streptophyta, Magnoliopsida, Poales, Poaceae.
GGAGCUCCCCCGUGCUCAUAUGCACCACGCUGGAUCGAUGCCCCGCCCUGCAUCGCUGUGGUGUGGUCGCCAUCGCCGCGCCCGUGCCACAAUCCUCCUCUGCUCCUCCAUUGGCGUCGAUCUGGAUAUCUCUAGAGCAUCCCCGAGCCCUCCCCUGGCCUAUGUAAGGCAAGCGCGAGGUCCCACCGGAGCGAUCACAUCUCGCCGUUCCCUCCUCCGUCCGCCAUGGCCGCGUCGGCCUCGUCUCUUCCGGCCACCACGAGCGCUCUCUCCUCCUCCCGAGGCCUCCACCCUCUCCCCCUCGUUCCGCUGAGUCGCCCACCCCCUUUGCCCCUCGCCGGAGUACCCCAGGGCCGCUGCCCUCUUCUUCAACCGCCGCUGGAGCUCCUCUCCGUUCUCCUCCCGUCGUCGCGGCCCUAGUCCUCCCCGGCGCCUCCUCUUCUCGGGGAUGGAGGCGGCAGGCUACGCCGCGCUCGCCGGGGGUCGCGCCUCGGCCGGAGGUGGCCAGAGGUAGCUAGGCUCGCCGGCGCCCCUCCUCUGUUCCUCCCGCGCCCCUGCUCUGCUCUGAUCGAUGGGAGGAAGAAGACAGGCGCGUGGGGAGAGAGAGGAGAAGGGUGGGCCCCCGUGUCAGCUGCACAAGCCGGGCCCCACCACCAGCACUUCACGAAAACGUGUUAUGUCGAAGGCGCUUUCUGUUUCAGCCGCCAGGGACCCGUUAGUGAUAAAAAUAUUCACAGAUUGGUCCCUGAUCUUCUACACCUCAUAACUCCGCAACCGUAACUCCGAUUGAGCCCCCUCCGAGAGAGAACCGUCCGGCGUUUCAUUCUACGGCUUCACCACACUUCUUCUCGGAGUCUCUGUCACCCCCAGGCAAGUCACAACAGCCACUUGCAUGAUAGCCAUGCAGUAGCCAUGCUUUCCACUUGAAUAUUUAAUAAAAGCUUGCCCAUUAUCUGCAUGCUUGUUUGCUACUACUGUCGUUGUUGCGGUUAUGCUCGUGAUUUCAUGUUCACCUUCAUGAUAUGCUCCGAUGCAUCUUGUUAUCUUGUAUUACUUGCUAGUAUCAUGUUCACAUGUCAUGCUUAGUAGUAGUAGUAGUAGUACAUUCUGGUAAUAGUGAUGUUCAGUCUGAUGCAUGCUUACCGUUUGUUAUCAGUAUUGUUGCUAUGCAUGUUCCUUUGCACCCAGUUGGUUGCAUGCUUACCUGGUAGUAUUCUUGUUAUAUUCUUGCAUGGUAUUUCUUUAUGAUGCUAGUGUUCAUGAUAUGCUCAUGUGUAGUGUUAUGAUCAUGCUCGUCAGUAUGCCAUGCUUAGUUGGAUAUAUGAUUCAUUGUUGUUAUGCUCGAUGAUUGUGUUGCACCUCCAUCUUUAUGUUGAUAUCAUGCUCAUGCAUUGUAGUUGCAUCAUGUUAUUUUAAUAUGGCUCAACUCAUUGCAUUCAAGUUUAACCAGAUAAUUAUGAACUUGAACAACUGUUGGCCGAGUCAUGGUGCCACCAGAUCGAGCUGACCAGUGCAACCACAUUUGCCUUUUAUGGGAAGGCCCUAGUGCGGUCUGUUGCCAUGCCUCCCGUCGGUGCCUCCAACGAGGGAAGGUUAUGGGCGCGCACUACCCUGAUCAGGUAGGCGGACAUAAACCUUAUGUGCCCGAGUUGUUUGCGCGCUUUGUCCCCGUUUGGGACCGUUUAUGUUUUGCCACGACGGUGGCCGUUGGAUGUCUUUGGUAGACAUCGGGGCCACCCAUGACUUAGCCCAAGAGGGGAGUUGGUCGGAGUGGUCGGGAGAAUGUCAUGGUAGUAGAUUGGUUUUGUUGGAACGUCGUUGGUCCACACGUAUGGGAGUGCGAGGCCAUGGGUUCCGUGGUGUGGGUAUAGUGUGCUAAUAACCUCUGUAGAGUGUGUGUUAAAUCUAUCGAUAGCCAUGCCCGCGGAUAUGAGCCCAGUUCGUAGUUGGUCACACUAUGAGCCAACAAUAAUAAUAACUUGAUUAAUAAUAACCCCGAUUCAAUGAUGAGAAAGAGAUUGGUCGUGAUCGAGAGAGGAUCACGAAGGUAUCAUGGAUACCAAAGUUGGUUGAUCUUUAUGUGAUCGCGAGAUGAUCACGACGGUAUGAUACGUCUCCGUCGUAUCUAUAAUUUUUUAUUGU